RNAcentral lists this small nuclear RNA (18 nucleotides) under Arabidopsis thaliana (thale cress). RNAcentral's name for it is "snRNA_16945". The record is from RNAcentral. Lineage: Eukaryota; Viridiplantae; Streptophyta; Magnoliopsida; Brassicales; Brassicaceae.
GAGUCGGGUUGUUUGGGA